GAUGAACGCUGGCGGCGUGCCUAAUACAUGCAAGUCGAGCGAACGGACGAGAAGCUUGCUUCUCUGAUGUUAGCGGCGGACGGGUGAGUAGCACGUGGAUAACCUACCUAUAAGACUGGGAUAACUUCGGGAAACCGGAGCUAAUACCGGAUGAUAUUUUGAACCGCAUGGUUCAAAAGUGAAAGACGGUCUUGCUGUCACUUAUAGAUGGAUCCGCGCUGCAUUAGCUAGUUGGUAAGGUAACGGCUUACCAAGGCAACGAUGCAUAGCCGACCUGAGAGGGUGAUCGGCCACACUGGAACUGAGACACGGUCCAGACUCCUACGGGAGGCAGCAGUAGGGAAUCUUCCGCAAUGGGCGAAAGCCUGACGGAGCAACGCCGCGUGAGUGAUGAAGGUCUUCGGAUCGUAAAACGCUGUUAUUAGGGAAGAACAUAUGUGUAAGUAACUGUGCACAUCUUGACGGUACCUAAGCAGAAAGCCACGGCUAACUACGU
RNAcentral lists this ribosomal RNA (496 nucleotides) under uncultured bacterium. RNAcentral describes it as "partial 16S ribosomal RNA". It matches the Rfam family "Bacterial small subunit ribosomal RNA", at positions 28 to 506 of the family's 1533-position model. The record is from RNAcentral.